AGAGAGAGACAUGCGCGCAUAUCAAUAAGCGGAGGAAAAGAAACUAACAAGGAUUCCCUUAGUAACGGCGAGUGAAGCGGGAAGAGCUCAAAUUUGAAAUCUUCAAGGUUUUACCUUGACGAAUUGUAGUUUAAAGAAGUGUUUUCUGCUGAAGUUUUGGUAAAAGUUCUUUGGAAUAGGACAUCAUAGAGGGUGAGAAUCCCGUAUUUGACCAUUAUUUUCAGCUUUGUGAUACACUUUCAAAGAGUCGGAUUGUUUGGGAAUGCAGUCCAAAAUGGGUGGUAAAUUUUCAUCUAAAGCUAAAUAUUGGCGAGAGACCGAUAGCGAACAAGUACCGUGAGGGAAAGAUGAAAAGAACUUUGAAAAGAGAGUUAAACAGUACGUGAAAUUGUCAAAAGGGAAGCGUUUGACACCAGUGUUGUUUUCCUCGAAAAUCAAUUAAAAAUGGCUCGAUUUUGUAUUGCUUGAGACCUUAAAAGCUCACUGUACAUUUUUCGUGUCUUUUUUAAUGCACUUUUCGUUUAACAAGUCAACAUCAGUUUCUUUUGUUGUAAAAGGGUCAUUGGAAGGUGGCUUUCUUUUCGGAGAAAGUGUUUAUAGCCUUUGGCCUCUGCAAUCGGAGAGACUGAGGUCUGCAGCGUAGACUCUUCGGGGUUAGAUACAUUUGUGCUAAGUUAUAGCUUUUUAUAGACAACUUGUUGACUAUAAUUAGUCUUGUAGCUUACUCGCUUAUGCUAUUUUACCUACGCUUAGGAUGUUGAGUCGUAGAGCACGCAG
RNAcentral lists this ribosomal RNA (777 nucleotides) under uncultured Neocallimastigales. RNAcentral's name for it is "partial large subunit ribosomal RNA". It matches the Rfam family "Eukaryotic large subunit ribosomal RNA", at positions 23 to 628 of the family's 3401-position model. Lineage: Eukaryota; Fungi; Neocallimastigomycota; Neocallimastigomycetes; Neocallimastigales. The record is from RNAcentral.